Long non-coding RNA from Peromyscus californicus insignis, 1289 nucleotides. RefSeq lists it as uncharacterized. The transcript has 3 exons. The record is from RefSeq and is a predicted model, not a curated record. Lineage: Eukaryota; Metazoa; Chordata; Mammalia; Rodentia; Cricetidae.
UUUUGUUUUUGUUUUUGCGAGACAGGAUUUCUCUGUGCAACAGUCCUGGCUAUCCUGGAACUUGCUUUGUAGACCAGGCUGGCUUUGAACUCACUGAGAUUCACCUGCCUCUGCCUCCCAAGUGCUGGAAUUAAAGGCGUGUGCCACCACCGCCCAGCUAUGUGUAAGAAACCCAAGUUUCCCAGAGAAAAAAAGGAGCUGUCCAGGGCAGCGUGCAUGAGAGGUCAGUUCUGUCCAACGCUAAGCACAACUUCCUAUUUUAUGAUCCCACCAAGGAGAAACAACAGGAUGUUGGCAUUUGGCGCCUUGCUUGAAUAGGUAAAAUGUCUGUGACCCAAGGAGAAUUGACACUGUGGGUGACUGGGGUCCCCUCCCAACAGUUACUGUCUCUUUUCCCACUAGCAGACCAAGAUCUGUGGAAUGAGGAUCAAAGCACAUCAUGGAGUCCUAUUUCCAUUUUGUAGAAGGUUUCAUCUGGAGUCCAUGGAAGGGGGUGUAGGAGUCCACAUCUGACUAGCUGCCGGGUUGCAAGGCUUCUUUCCACAGAACACAUUGUCACGGGCACCAUUCUGUACCAGAGGUGGACAAGCCUUCUCUGUGAAGGACUAGGUGCUUUACAAUUAGAUUUCUGAGGUCCUUUGGUCUGUGUUUCAACUGCUGAAAUCUGAGCUUGGGUCACACCCCAGGAGAAAGGUGUGCCAACAGCAAGCAGUACAACAUUCCCAAGCUGGACCCAGUGCUCUCUGAACUGCAUGAUGAAAUCACAAGCUGUCAACCAUUGGCUGGUCACAGACUCAGAAAGCCAGAGGCUAUGGAUUUGUUCCAGAUUAAGAUACAUCAGGUUUGACCAGCCAAGACCCCCUGAAAGGUCUCGGAUGACACCAUGGCCCAGAUGAUCCAACAUCCAAAAUGGUUUGAAGGCAACUGGCUCAGACGAUACAGCCUCACGGACUACUCCAUGAUCCUAAAAUUUUCUUUGUGUCCCCAUAAGAUACAGCGCCCCCCUCCAGUAGGAAGUAGUAAGAGAAGCUAUGCCCAAAUUCCCAAAUUAUAUGUAAUUUUACUUUGUUAAGGUUAAAACCUUCCUUUUUGAAAAGAGGGAAGUGCUGUGGGAUGGUCUAUAUGUCAAAUGUGUUGCUGAUUAGUCAAUAAAUAAAACACUGAUUGGCCAUUGACUAGGCAGGAAGUGUAGGCGGGACAAGGAGGAGAAUAAAGCUGGGAAGUGGAAGGCUGAGUCAGAGAGACACUGCCAGCCGCCACGAUGACAAAUAGCAUAUGAAGAUGCCGGU